UAAAGGAAUCGUAGGUGGUUGAUCGCGUCGGAAGUGUAAUCAUGGGGCUUAACCCUGAGCGAGCCUUCGAUACGGGUUGACUUGAGGAAGGUAGGGGAGAAUGGAAUUCCUGCUGGAGCGGUGGAAUGCGCAGAUAUCAGGAGGAACACCAGUGGCGAAGGCGGUUCUCUGUGCCUUUCCUGACGCUGAGGAGCGAAAGCGUGGGGAGCGAACAGGCUUAGAUACCCUGGUAGUUCACGCUGUAAGCGGUGGGUGCUAGGUGUGGGGUCCAUUCCACGGGUUCCGUGCCGUAGCUAACGCUUUAAGUACCCCGCCUGGGGAGUACGGCCGCAAGGCUAAAACUCAAAGGAAUUGACGGGGCCCCGCACCACCGGCGGAGCAUGCGGAUUAAUUCGAUGCAACGCGUAGAACCUCACCUGGGUUUGACAUGGAUCGGGAGUGCUCAGAGAAGGGUGUGCCUCUUUUGGGGUCGGUUCACAGGUGGUGCAUGGCGGUCGUCAGCUCGUGUCGUGAGAUGUUGGGUUAAGUCCCGCAACGAGCGCAACCCUUGUUCACUGUUGCCAGCACGUUAUGGUGGGGACUCAGUGGAGACCGCCGGGGUCAACUCGGAGGAAGGUGGGGAUGACGUCAAGUCAUCAUGCCCCUUAUGUCCAGGGCUUCACGCAUGCUACAAUGGCUGGUACAGAGAGUGGCGAGCCUGUGAGGGUGAACGAAUUUUGGAAAACCGGUCUCAGUUCGGAUUGGGGUCUGCAACUCGACCUCAUGAAGUCGGAGUCGCUAGUAAUCGCAGAUCAGCAACGCUGCGGUGAAUACGUUCCCGGGGCUUGUACACACCGCCCGUCAAGUCAUGAAAGUUGGUAACACCCGAAGCCG
RNAcentral lists this ribosomal RNA (873 nucleotides) under Cutibacterium sp. Its description in RNAcentral is "bacterial SSU rRNA". It matches the Rfam family "Bacterial small subunit ribosomal RNA", at positions 561 to 1429 of the family's 1533-position model. The record is from RNAcentral. Lineage: Bacteria; Bacillati; Actinomycetota; Actinomycetes; Propionibacteriales; Propionibacteriaceae.